Molecule: long non-coding RNA, 1663 nt
Organism: Pangasianodon hypophthalmus (striped catfish)
Lineage: Eukaryota; Metazoa; Chordata; Actinopteri; Siluriformes; Pangasiidae
Exons: 3
Source: RefSeq, a predicted model, not a curated record
GACAGAAGAAAGAAAGGAGAAAGUCCCCAUCAGAUGCCGAGUAUCAGCCUCCCAGGCAGCCAGGCUUCAAAGACAGACCUGGAGUGAUAAGGUGCCCUUGUUUACCGGCAGACAGGAUCAGGCUGUACCUGCUGCAGCGAAAAAACAGCACACACGCACGCUGGCCUCCAGCCAGCACCCCCGAAUCAAAACAGCACAGCGCAUCGGGCUGCAUGCAAAUACACAUACACACAUACACACAUAACACCGGCAAUAACCGACCUAUACCGACUGACACGACUGUCGCGCCUGAUAUACUGCACACUCACCACACCCCAAAUGUGCCAUUUCAAUUUGAUUAAUGAGUGUCAAUCGAUGGUGUAUUGUCUUUUUGGUUAAUAAGCCACAAUCUGGCUUGCAUAAUAAAGCUAGUAAUGUCAUUUGUUAUGAAUUAAGCAGGUGAAACACUUCAACUGGCAUCCGUUAAUGCCAUAGACUGGUAUAAUUGAGAGGGCAGAAGUAACAAAAGGCAAGAGUUAACACUCACACGCAACUGAGAUACUAUAAAUGCUCAGGAGUGCACACAGAGUCAUGCACUGCACUCUCAUAAAGCUGUCAACAGCAACGACGAGUCACACCUGCACUCAUAACAAACACACUGUCAAGCAAUUAGCAAUGUUUAAAAAAAUGACAAAGCAUAGCCCUGGGUCACAACUACUUGUGUGUUUACUGUAUAUGACUCGAACUCAUAUACAGUGAAUAACCUUCUUCCGUGAUGAAUUAAUUAUGCAUUGCAUGUGUGUCUAUCUGAGAUUUCAACAGACAAGCAAAAUGUUGUCACAAAGCUAGACACAAAGCUUGAGAAAUGCCUGGGAAAGGGGCUGCACAGGAGGACCUCGGCUCUGGCUCCUUUCUGAAACCCGAUCCAGGCCCAGCCAAUUGGAAAGCUAACACAUCACCAUUUAAGGCAGCUCACGCAGGCCAAGCAGCCGUGAAUACUCAGCUACCAACUGCACACAUGUGCCAGUGCUCAAGCUAUAUUUGUAUGCAGGCUUUAUGAAGGGCUGCAACAGAAGUAAGACAAGUGUUGCACCCUGUUUUGACACUAUAAAGAAAUCCAGGUUAUAAGACUGGAUAGGAUUUUUAUUACAGCUGAUGAGCUCAAUGUACACAUCCAUUAAAGUUCUUCUCUCUGAGGAUUGGACAGACAAAGAGAGGAGUGUGUCAGCAUGAGAGGGAAAGCACUUCACUGACGAUCACUUCAACAAGGAUCUAAAAGACAUUAAGUGUUCAGAGCCCUGGGAGCAUGCUGCUUUAACAGGCUGAGGAAUGGAUUCAUUUCAUCUAAUGUGGUUUGGUCUGCAGCAGAGCCACUCACCCUGAGCAAGAGGCUCCCCACUGCAGUCAUGUGUUUUCAUACAAGCCAAUCAACACGGCUGCACCAGCCUGGCCUCUUUCCCUCCCACAAUCUCUCUCUCUCUCUCUCUCGCUCCCUCUCCCCUCCCUCCAUCUCUCCAUCCCUUUGACUCACUCUACCUUCCCCAUUCUUCCUCUCUCGCCCACCCCCUCCUUUUCUCCCACCUUUCUCUUUCACUCUUUCCAUCUGCCAUUGGCUCUCUAUUUCACACUGUCCAGCAGCUGACUUUCCUCCACAUCUACCUCCUUUUAAAUAAAUCGACUUCUA